Molecule: long non-coding RNA, 264 nt
Filed under: Pan troglodytes (chimpanzee)
Lineage: Eukaryota; Metazoa; Chordata; Mammalia; Primates; Hominidae
Description: long non-coding RNA NONPTRT017244
Source: RNAcentral
GAAUGUAAAUUAGUAUAACCUUUAUGGAAAACAGUAUGAGAUUUCUCAAAGAACUAAAAAUAGAACUACCAUUCCACCCAACAAUCCCACUACUAUCUACCCAAAGGGAAAGAAAGCAAUAUAUCAAAAAGACACCUGCACCUGCAUGUUUAUCACAGCACUAUUCUGUUUCUGGGAGAGGAUGGUGGCAUAAUGGAAAUUAUCAUGUUGUUUUUAUAAACAUAUUCCGCACAUUCUGAGAUUUUUUUCCAACCCCCAUUUGAA